Canis lupus familiaris (dog) is the source of this 3222-nucleotide long non-coding RNA. RefSeq lists it as uncharacterized. NCBI's taxonomy places the organism in Eukaryota, Metazoa, Chordata, Mammalia, Carnivora, Canidae. The record is from RefSeq and is a predicted model, not a curated record. The transcript is spliced from 3 exons.
CCUCUCUGCAGUACCUUUCUCCAUCUCGAAGGUGUCAGGCUAGGAUUAGGACAGGGGCCCUGCCAGCCUGGGGAAUCUGAAAACUCACUUUGCAGGACCAGGGGCUGAACCAGGUGGGGUCAGGGAGUGAGUUGCCCAGUUGGGCAGCUCUGCGCUGUGGAAAGCCACAAGGGCAGGUGUAGGAAAGUGAGUGAAUUUGCCCACUCUUCUUCACCCCUGCCCCAUCUGCCGGAGACACUGGUGAACGCAGGCCGACGUAUGGCGGGGUGCCGAUGAUGAGGGCCUUUAUACGUUUGGACACCCCCUGAUGGUGGGCUGAGGCCUGGCCUGAGUCUGAGCCAACCGGAAGGGCCAGCCAUGUGGCCCCAAAAGCCAGCUGACCCUUGGAGCCCCCUCUUGCGAAGGCAGCACUGGGCUCUGUACACCCCAUACUCAACAUGCGCGAUCACAUACUAGCACUUGUUCUAAAACUCUGCCCUUCACACGUAUGCCCACCUCCUGCUGGCACACACAGGAAGUUCCUGUAUACCCACUCUGGCUCACACUCCUGGGCGCACUGUUUGCCUACAUGGCAUUUACCACGUCUACCACCCUGGGCUCCACCUGAAGUUUUGUCACCCCUUCCAGGGCCCAAAGGACUGAUUUGAGCACCUUCUUACCGCCCCCAGCUCUGGUUCAGAGCUGAGACCUGAGCUCAUCCCAUACCCCAGACUAGGAAUGUCCGUGGGCAGGACCCCAUGCCUCUCAGUGGCACAGCUGGUAGACUGGCUACGGCUCCUGGGCCAUAGACCCUCCCACUGGAGGCGUCAGCUCUGUUUCUGGGCAGCAGGUUCAGUCUGUUCUUCUCUGUUCUUAGCUCCAGUAGACCUUACCCUAGCAGGCGACAGCAAAGUUUGAGACCCAGUGAAGGUAGCCUCUGUGCUUGAAUGUGACCCCGUAGCUAUAGAUUAUCUGUGUUGUGAGCACCGGCUACCCCAUGUCCAGCCGGUUAUCUCUGGGCUCGAAGCUCCCCCAGAAAGGAAGCUUCUGUGUCCUUCUGCAUCUUUCUUGGGCAACAGCUCUGCACCAGCAGGCCAGUUUUCUCCUGGUUAGCCCUGCUUCAGUCAGGGAAUCACCCUGCCACCCUCCUUCACCCCAAACCAGGAGGUGAACAGACCCUGUGUUUGCCUGUGUAAGGACAAGGUGGGAAGGGUGGUGGGACUUGGAGCCCAGCCACCCGCCAUCGCAGCAGCAUGUUCUCAGCCCCUGCCAGACCUGCCCCUGUGCCACUUCAGUACUUAGUAGGCUGCUUGUCCAGGGGCCUCCAAGGCAGUGUAGAACUGGGAAGCCGAGGGAGGAAGGAAGCAUUAUUACAGCUGGUGGCCGUGCCUGCAGGGUGCUCUCUGGGCAGGGUCACAGGGAGAGUGAGAGGAGUGUGUAGACACACAUGUGUGGAUUCAGGCCAGCUUCGUGGGCCUGCCACGUGGGCAGUCCCCAGGGUCCCACACUCAGAGGGGCCUUCCCACCUGGUUUAAUGCUCUGCAGUUGCCAUCUUGGAACUGUGGACACCACAAAUUAUGCAGCAAGUCCUGGUGUGUUGUCCAGGGACAGGGUCUAGGUUCCAGAUAAAGCUCCCCUCUCAGGACUUGGAGACAGAGGCUGCUUCAGUGAAGUGUCACAAGGGAGGCCCAUAGGAGAAGGGACCAUCUUCUCCUGAGGUGAGGGUGGGGGUGGGUUGUGCUAUGGCCCUGCCCUGCUCCUGAUCUUCCCUGAGUCAGGACUUAGAAGCCCCGCUUCCUUCCCCAAACAGGCUCUCAAGGAGUCCCACCCCCUUCCCUACAGAUGGGGAGUGCCUUGGACGACUUGUGUCCAUCCCCCCCCCAAAUUUAUCCUUUGAAAUCUGAAUCCCUAAUGCCCUGGUAUUAGGGGCCUUUGGGAGGUGAUUAGCUCUUGAGGACCGAGCCUCAAGCAUGGGAUUAGUUCUUUUAUGAAAGAGACCCCCCAGAGCUCUGUAGCCGGUCUACCCAAUGAAGACACAGAAAGUGCAGGCUGUAAGCCAGGUCCUCAAGGACCCUGCUGGCACCUUGAUCGUGGACUUCCUGCCUUCAGAGCCGCAAGAAACAAAUCUCUGUUGUUUAUAAGCCACCCAGUCUGUGGUAUUUGUUAUAGCAGCUCAAACAGACUAAGAUAGAGAAGCUGAGGUCCUGAGGGGGACAGGUGUUUGCCCAAGGUCGCAGAGCCUUGAAACAGCCCCGAGGCUCUCGGCCCUUGGCACUCCCCUCCCUUGAACCAUCCCUCCCCUUCAUCCCCUAAUGCUGUCUGGGGAGGCAGGGGGCGUGGGGGAGUGUCCAGCCCCUCACAGGCCCUUUCCAGGUUCUCCCUGCUUUUCCAGCUGAGAAGCCUGGGACUGCCCCCGUAGGAGGGGAAUGCAGAGCUGGCACCUCCUUCCUCCCUCUCCUUCCCUUUUCCUCCUCCCACUGCCCUUCCCAGUUCCACGCAGAGCUGGUCAGUGAAAGGUUCUUCCCUGCCGCCAGCCAAAUCUGGCAGGCCUCCUGGGCAACUGGGAGGAGCCCCGGCAAGAAACCUGGCCCCAGGAUAAGGAAGGGGAGCUGGGUGGGCUUCCAGGGCUCUGGCUGAGGCCAGGGUGGGGGUAGAGUUUCCUGUCUUGCUGAGGAUCUCUUAGCCCCCGAGCAGCCUGGUGCCAACUGUGAUCCCUGUGUACCAGGCACAGACUUGGAGAUGGGGGGGCGGGGAGUGCCCAGAUGGAGGCAGGAGGCUCAGGAGCCAGGACCAGUUGGAGCUGUUUGGAGUCCAAUCCCCAGAGGGCCAAGCUGGGGGUGGAGAGUGAAGGGUUGCAGGGCUGGGGGCGGUGGAGGUUCUUCCCUCCCUGUGACCUCCGACCCAGAGCCUGGGACAGUGGGGGUGGGGGAGGCUGGUGUUCAACUCUAUUCUAGAAAGUGGGGGUGGAUCCUGGGAGCAAGGAUGAUUGACUGAGGGGGCGCAGGAGGAAGGUGAAGGAGAGCUAGAACCUCGGACCAUUCACUUUAAUUCCUGUGUGUCGUCUGUAAAAUGAAGACAACAGCAACACCCCCUUUCUUCUUUUGAGUUGGCCCCUUGGAACCGCCCAGACCCCGACCCUCACCGAUUGCUGUAUUCAUACUGGACCUGCUGGAGAUGCUAGCACAGUUGGGCUAUCUGGUGACUGUGUUCUUCAGCAUCUUCAUGUCCUUCCAAGCCACAGCC